UCAAGAAUGGCAUCUGAGACUUGGUCACAUAGCUUAUCAGGGUGUCCCUCGUUGACAGACUCAGAAGUGAAAAGGAAGGUCUCCAUAUCUCAACUAUGAGUAAAAAGAGAGAGCUUUAACAGAGGAAAUGGAAGAGAAGGAGAAAGGAGAGACAAGUGAGAGUGAUAUAUAGUUGAAGAGAGACGCGGUGGUGUCCUAUGACUCGCUCUCUCUCUC
This 216-nucleotide unclassified non-coding RNA is filed under the name Hevea brasiliensis (rubber tree). The record is from RNAcentral. Lineage: Eukaryota; Viridiplantae; Streptophyta; Magnoliopsida; Malpighiales; Euphorbiaceae.